Molecule: ribosomal RNA, 468 nt
Filed under: uncultured bacterium
Lineage: Bacteria
Description: partial 16S ribosomal RNA
Rfam family: Bacterial small subunit ribosomal RNA
Source: RNAcentral
GAUGAACGCUGGCGGCGUGCUUAACACAUGCAAGUCGAACGGUGAAGGCGGAGCUUGCUCUGCUGGAUCAGUGGCGAACGGGUGAGUAACACGUGAGCAAUCUGCCCCUGACUCUGGGAUAAGCGCUGGAAACGGCGUCUAAUACUGGAUACGAGCUGCGAAGGCAUCUUCAGCAGCUGGAAAGAAUUUCGGUCAGGGAUGAGCUCGCGGCCUAUCAGCUUGUUGGUGAGGUACUGGCUCACCAAGGCGUCGACGGGUAGCCGGCCUGAGAGGGUGACCGGCCACACUGGGACUGAGACACGGCCCAGACUCCUACGGGAGGCAGCAGUGGGGAAUAUUGCACAAUGGGCGAAAGCCUGAUGCAGCAACGCCGCGUGAGGGACGACGGCCUUCGGGUUGUAAACCUCUUUUAGCAGGGAAGAAGCGAAAGUGACGGUACCUGCAGAAAAAGCGCCGGCUAACUACGUG